Molecule: ribosomal RNA, 425 nt
Filed under: uncultured bacterium
Lineage: Bacteria
Description: partial 16S ribosomal RNA
Rfam family: Bacterial small subunit ribosomal RNA
Source: RNAcentral
GUGGGGAAUCUUGCGCAAUGGGCGAAAGCCUGACGCAGCCAUGCCGCGUGAAUGAUGAAGGUCUUAGGAUUGUAAAAUUCUUUCACCGGGGACGAUAAUGACGGUACCCGGAGAAGAAGCCCCGGCUAACUUCGUGCCAGCAGCCGCGGUAAUACGAAGGGGGCUAGCGUUGCUCGGAAUUACUGGGCGUAAAGGGCGCGUAGGCGGACAGUUUAGUCAGAGGUGAAAGCCCAGGGCUCAACCUUGGAAUUGCCUAUGAUACUGGCUGUCUUGAGUACGGGAGAGGUGAGUGGAACUCCGAGUGUAGAGGUGAAAUUCGUAGAUAUUCGGAAGAACACCAGUGGCGAAGGCGACUCACUGGCCCGUUACUGACGCUGAGGCGCGAAAGCGUGGGGAGCAAACAGGAUUAGAAACCCGAGUAGUCC